Molecule: ribosomal RNA, 613 nt
Filed under: Myxococcus sp.
Lineage: Bacteria; Pseudomonadati; Myxococcota; Myxococcia; Myxococcales; Myxococcaceae
Description: bacterial SSU rRNA
Rfam family: Bacterial small subunit ribosomal RNA
Source: RNAcentral
UGCAAGUCGAGCGCGAAUAGGGAAACCUUAGUAGAGCGGCGCACGGGUGCGUAACACGUGGAUAAUCUGCCUGGAUGCCUGGGAUAACCAGUCGAAAGAUUGGCUAAUACCGGAUAAGCCCACGGUUUCUUCGGAGACUGAGGGAAAAGGUGGCCUCUGUAUACAAGCUAUCACAACCAGAUGAGUCCGCGGCCCAUCAGCUAGUUGGCGGGGUAAUGGCCCACCAAGGCGACGACGGGUAGCUGGUCUGAGAGGACGAUCAGCCACACUGGAACUGAGACACGGUCCAGACUCCUACGGGAGGCAGCAGUGGGGAAUUUUGCGCAAUGGGCGAAAGCCUGACGCAGCAACGCCGCGUGUGUGAUGAAGGUCUUCGGAUUGUAAAGCACUUUCGACCGGGACGAAAACCCGUAGCCCAACACGCUACGGCUUGACGGUACCGGGAGAAGAAGCACCGGCUAACUCUGUGCCAGCAGCCGCGGUAAUACAGAGGGUGCAAGCGUUGUUCGGAAUUAUUGGGCGUAAAGCGCGUGUAGGCGGCGUGACAAGUCGGGUGUGAAAGCCCUCAGCUCAACUGAGGAAGUGCGCCCGAAACUGUCGUGCUUGAGUGCCG